RNAcentral lists this ribosomal RNA (466 nucleotides) under uncultured bacterium. RNAcentral's name for it is "partial 16S ribosomal RNA". It matches the Rfam family "Bacterial small subunit ribosomal RNA", at positions 28 to 507 of the family's 1533-position model. The record is from RNAcentral.
GAUGAACGCUGGCGGCGUGCUUAACACAUGCAAGUCGAACGAAGAAGCCCAGCUUGUUGGGUGGAUUCGUGGCGAACGGGUGAGUAACACGCGAGUAACCCGCCCUCAACUCUGGGAUAAGACUGGGAAACAGGGUGUAAUACCGGAUAGGAGAGCUCAUGGCACGGUGGGUGUUGGAAAGAUUUACCGGUUUUGGAUGGACUCGCGGCCUAUCAGCUUGUUGGUGAGGUAUUGGCUCACCAAGGCGAUGACGGGUAGCCGGCCUGAGAGGGUGACCGGCCACACUGGGACUGAGACACGGCCCAGACUCCUACGGGAGGCAGCAGUGGGGAAUAUUGCACAAUGGGCGCAAGCCUGAUGCAGCGACGCCGCGUGAGGGAUGACGGCCUUCGGGUUGUAAACCUCUUUCGGUAGGGAAGAAGCGAGAGUGACGGUACCUGCAAAAGAAGCACCGGCUAACUACGUG